This 253-nucleotide ribosomal RNA is filed under the name uncultured bacterium. Its description in RNAcentral is "partial 16S ribosomal RNA". It matches the Rfam family "Bacterial small subunit ribosomal RNA", at positions 524 to 776 of the family's 1533-position model. The record is from RNAcentral.
GACGAAGGUGGCGAGCGUUGUUCGGAAUCACUGGGCAUAAAGCGCACGUAGGCGGUGUCAUAAGUCGGAUGUGAAAUCCCUCGGCCUAACCGAGGAACUGCGUCCGAUACUGUGAUGCUUGAGGACCAGAGGGGUGCAUGGAAUUUCCGGUGGAGCGGUGAAAUGCGUUGAUAUCGGAAGGAACUCCGGCGGCGAAAGCGAUGCACUGGCUGGUUUCUGACGCUGAGGUGCGACAGCCAGGGGAGCAAACGGG